Molecule: long non-coding RNA, 944 nt
Filed under: Mustela putorius furo (domestic ferret)
Lineage: Eukaryota; Metazoa; Chordata; Mammalia; Carnivora; Mustelidae
Description: lncRNA (ENSMPUG00000024673.1)
Source: RNAcentral
CAGAAAUGUGCCAUGAAUUUGUCUCUGGGCUGAACAGACAAACAAACAAAAAACCCAAACCCGCGAAAUCUCUGGCCCUCUUCCCUAACCAUUCAAGAAGAAAAUUUCUUUGCGAAGGUACUUAUACACUACUUUUCAGUAUCCUUACUUAUCCUGGUCAAAGAAAAUAGGACCAAGCUGACACUCUUUCCAGCCCUUCUCAAAUGCGGACCUAAGCUCCUACAUUCAAGAAAAGACUUUAGGGAUUGGAAGCCCCCCACCCCCAUCCCGCUUAGAUAGGACGACCUUUAUUUUUCAGUCCUCCAACCCCCCAAAGCAAAGGGAAAAUUGCACCCUGUUCAUCAACAGAGGUCACUUCUUUGAUCCCACUGUGAGACCAGCAGAACACAAGGAAUCUUUCCUACUGUAUCAACCCGGAUAAAUAGGACUGGGGGCUGCUCCCUUUAUCCCUGUCCGGCUUUCUGGCCCAUGAAGGCUGAUUUGCUCUGUCUUCUGACAUUACCUGUUUGCUUUACACCAUAAAACAAAUAACUGCACCUCUAGUGAGAUUCCCCUUUGUCCCUAGGUAUCAGAAUGGCUUGUGGGUUUGGCUUAAAGCUACAGAAAAGACAGAGGGAGAGAAGAAAAAAGGUAUUUUGCCUGAGGACUUGAAGUCUCCCCCCCACCCCCACCCCGUUUCCCUCCGCUUGACUGACUUUCUCACACUCGGAUUCCCUGCAGCCUGCCAGAGCCGAGGUAGCUGCACGGCCAAGAGCUAUCCUGGGAGAGCUAUUGAAAGAGCCUUGAAACUUUUUUUUUUGUUUCAAAUUCUGCGACACUUGAGCCGCUCUGCACCCAGUUUUUGGAUGGAGAAAAGGAUAGUCAAGAAAGCCAAGUGUUCAUCAAGAGAACAGGACUCAGGAAUGCUUGGAACAAGAGUCCUGGUGGCCAUGAAGAGGCAUUAG